Molecule: ribosomal RNA, 407 nt
Filed under: uncultured bacterium
Lineage: Bacteria
Description: partial 16S ribosomal RNA
Rfam family: Bacterial small subunit ribosomal RNA
Source: RNAcentral
AUUGAACGCUAGCGGGAUGCCUUACACAUGCAAGUCGAACGGAGUGGCGAACGGGUGAGUAAUGUAUCGGAACGUGCCCAGUAGCGGGGGAUAACUACGCGAAAGCGUAGCUAAUACCGCAUACUAUUGGAGCGGCCGAUAUGGGAUUAGCUAGCUGGUGGGGUAACGGCUCACCAAGGCGACGAUCCGUAGCUGGGUUGAGAGGAUGACCAGCCAGACUGGACCUGAGACACGGUCCAGACUCCUACGGGAGGCAGCAGUGGGGAAUUUUGGACAAUGGGGGCAAGCCUGAUCCAGCCAUCCCGGGUGUGAGAAGAAGGCCUUGGGGUUGUAAAGCACUUUUAGCGGGAAAGCGGUACCUGCAGAAGAAGCACCGGCUAACUACGUGCCAGCAGCCGCGGUAAUAC